Molecule: long non-coding RNA, 5985 nt
Organism: Numida meleagris (helmeted guineafowl)
Lineage: Eukaryota; Metazoa; Chordata; Aves; Galliformes; Numididae
Exons: 3
Source: RefSeq, a predicted model, not a curated record
UUAUUAGAUCUGUAAGUGGAAAGUGUACAGAUUGAAGGGAAGAUGACAAUUCGUAGUAUUAGAAGACAAAAUUAAAGGCAAAGCUGUGAGAAAACCCAUAGUGAACGAUUUAAUGAAGUGGUUAAAUCCAUUGUAGAACACAAACAGUUUUUAAUUGGAAACAUCGGACAGUUUCAUCUCUCUAUCAAAUGUUCAGAGGAAAUCAAAUACCCCGUUGUAUAAAAAGCAGCUGGGACACAGGGAGAAUGGCACUUCUAUCAGUGCUCUGUAAGAGGUCAAUGACAAUUUUAAUUGAUGCUAUUUCGGUUCUUGUGGUAUGGUUGGUAACUAGAAUAGAAAUAUCCGAGCUGCCUCUUCUUAGAAAUAUGUGGACUUUAUUCAGGAGAAUUUUCAGCUGAGUAUCAAGUACAAAAAUCAGAUAAAAUCUGCAGACACAAGAGAGUGAAUGCAGUUAAAGUUUGUUCGAUGGGUACAACCCGUUUCAUCGGUUUCUGAAAAACAUGGAGACUGUCAACACUUACGCAAGUUAACAGCAAAGCCAGACAUCAAACAAAUCACAUUACUCUAAAACUAGCAGGCAGCUCUUAAAAUAACUAAAUAAAUUAUAAGCAACAAUUGCUUUAAAGAUUGUUUUCAUGCAUUUUUAGACUUUACAGAGCCCUUUUAUGGCUCGUUCUUUGUCAGCCUGAGAUCACAGCGUGGUUCUAGUAAAUCCAUCUCUUGAUUUCUUUGGUGUCAGUGUUGCAUACCCUAACAAAUAGAAACUGGAUUACUAAAGUAGUGGGAAUAUGUUUUCAAGUCUGAACAAUAGCAGUAUUCCCAGUUUGCUUUUGCUUUUUCAAAUACAAAGAGUAAGAUUGCUGUAGAGCACUAGAGACAAUAAUAGAAAACAAUGCGGCUAAUUUUGGAGGUAGAGUGUUUCUACAGUUUAUUCGUGAAGAGAACUACUGUCAAUCAUUUCAAAAAGAAAAAUCUAGCUGGCGGUCUUUGCUGCGGGCUGACAGGUUGUAGUAGAGCUCUGGGAAGUAUGUCUGAGCUUCUGGAGCAUGGGCAUGUGAAGAGUGGGUGGUUUUAUGACUUCUCAGGCCAAACACUGGGAAUCGGAUGGUCCAAUGCACAUCCCUGCUGCGGUGACGUAUGGUGAAUUUGGUGUCAGGCUUAUGCUGGGACUGCUAUUAUUCUGCACAGAGAUAUCUUCUGAUGCUCUGCUUGUCAUGGAGCCCGUGUAUCCCCUGGUUAAUUUUGAACUACUUAAGCCCAAGAGCUGCAGGCUGGAUUCUCAGCUGCCAUGAACUCCCAGCAGUGCACUGAUGCGAGCGAAGCAGCCCAGCUCUGUGCAAAGACUCUGCAUGGAAGGCUGAUUUUAAUGACAAUUCUCUUAAAUACAUAACGCUUUUUAGCCAGGAGCUGAUUUUUAUCCAGGUUGGUAAAAAAUAAGGAUUGCUUCACUUUUUCCUGAAGCAAAUACACAUGCAUUUGUGUGCCUCUGGAGAAGCGUGGGGGAGCAGAUUUCUGCAGGGCUGCUUCAGCUGGCGAUCCCAGCCUCACACGGAUGCAGCAGGGCUUCAGCUCUCUCCUCAUUAUACUUCAAACCCUCGUUAGCACUGAGGAUUAUAUUGGCAUUGGUAACUUUGUGUUGGGACAAUACCAGUUUCUUCUUCAAGCGUCCUUUUUCCCUCCUGCUCACUGUGGUUCAUGCUGCUCACAUUCCCACACUCUUGCCAGGUUAGCUCACUCGUGUUUCUUCAUCACACCAAGUGGCUGUACUGAAGCCAUGCUUCCUUCAUCUGAAGAUCUUACUGCAUGAAUUAAAUAGCUGCAUCUCCUGAACCUCUUGUUUCCUACUUUAAAUACCUUUUGAUUUUUUUUUCCCAGCUCUGUUGCGCUUUCUAGGUUUUAGGUGGAAUCCUUCUAAAAUGCUUUCAUCACAUUAACUUUGUGAUGAAGGUUUUGUUUAUUAUUAUACAUUCAAAUAUGUUUUCAGGUUAUAUUUGUUGUUUUUUUAGCUUAAUAAUCAUUUGAGCAUUCAUUCUUAGUCUACAAGAAACUUAAUGUGAGAGUGCAGAAAAUGCAGAGAUUCAGACUGGCUAUUCUCUAAACGAAUACGUGGCUGUUUCAGAAUGUUGUCUAACAGUGUAAUGCCUUCUGAUUUUAAUAGCAUUAUAUAAUUAGAGUGAGCGGAAUGGAAGGUCAGGCUUUAAAGACAGGCCUCACGCCACUGUAACUACUGCCACUGGAUUCAUGCUGUAUCAGACUUAGUAUUUUAUCCUCUUGCCUUUAGACACCGAUGAACACCUGCAUCGUACUGCAGUGACGCACAUAGCUGAGGGAUAAACUGGUCCUUAGGAGUGAGUUUGGAAUGAGAAGAAAGAGUGGGGAAUAACUUAGACUGAAGUGUACAUCCACAAUAACAGAGCUGAGUCAAACCACAAAUAAAUUCAGCGUGGCAAGGUAACCUGGAGUUAGAUUUUUCACUGUUUUUCUGCCUCAUCUGUUGUUGUCAUAGAAAAGGGGAUUUCUUGCCCUUUCUUUUAUUGUCUUCUUUUUUUUUUUUUACAAUCUCUGCGUAUUGUGGCUGUGAUUCCUUCCAGCCUCUGUCUCCUCAUCCUCUCAUGUUGCUCUUUCAAAGAAGCUCAGGACACAGGGUCUGUUUUGUUCUGCCUUCUUUUUCCUCCAGUUGCUGCUGACUGGCACUGCUCAGCCUGCCCUCCCCUCCAGGCUGCGAGGCACCGGGAACCCACAGCUUCUGUACAUAAACUCCCACCCUUCCUAUCUGCCAUUUCAAACUCUUCCUCCCCAGACUGUCACUGUCAAGCCCCCGGAUGCUGAGCUUCAGCAUUCCACGGCUCCUCGUGAGAAAAUGACCUCAUUUGGGCACAGGGACAGGAGCAGCCAGCCGCUCUUCGUGCUCGCUGGAUGAGAUGGCCAUUAUUUUUGGAAGAGUGCUGCAUGGCUUAUGGUGGCGUCAGAGUUUCUGUGUAGCAGCACUGAGAACAUAAAUACCCAAACUUAUCUCUUGCAGGAUCUUGUGGGUUUCUUAUCCAAGGAUUGCCAAACCCCAAACCCGCCCACCUUGUCAAAUCCCAUGUGAUGUUGCCCCAGGUGAUACGGCAACGCCCACUGCAUAAACAUAUUCCACACUUCAGUUUGUUGCCAGUGCUGGGGAUUUUAAAACCAAUUAGCCAUGUGCUGACAUGCAGCCUGAUGUGGAGCUGGAUGUAUGGAAAUGAAAUGGUUCUGUGCGAUGUGAGCGUAGUGAUUCUUCUGAACUUCAAACUGUGUGGGCUCCCAGCACCUCAUUCAGCUGUGCUUUCAGCUGACAUGUUUGGCCUAUCUGUGCAGUUGUGAGAAAUCUGAUUGUCAAAGAAGAACAUAAGCCCAGCCUGGCAGGAGAUGUGGUUUGCAAACCCAAGCAAAUCCCAAACAUCUGCAAGAAAAAUCAACUCACCAAUAAAGCUGCUAUGCUGUCUUUGGAGGCCCCAGAGCACCACUGCAACUCGUGUGAAGACUCCAGUCCGAUAAAAGCAGUUCCAAUGCAUGAGUGACGGAGCAGUGAGCAAAGUGUGAGAAGAUGGAUGAUACCUUUCAAAUCUGAGGCAUUCAAUAUCACUACUGCUGCUUCCAGUGCAAGCUUUCCCUGCCUACUUAAGGUUUAUAGUUAAGGCAGCAAUGCCACCCAUCUUGACUUACAGGGAUGGCGACAAUCUUGCUACUAUCUGUCUGUUUACUCCUUGGCAUAUUUAGCAGUCAAGGGAACGACACAGAAUGUUGGUUACCGGGCUGCUGCUUUCCUAAGUACAUAAAUAUUAAUGCUUAAAAAGAGCAAAAAUUGAUGUGUAAAUUAAAGUAUACGCACUUUUCCUUAAAACAAACAAACAACUAAAAUUUCAAAUUACUACAGCUUUUAUGAAUUUCCAAGAUAAAAAAAAAGCUAUUAAAAUAAUGUAGCUAAAAUACCAAUUUUCAGAUAGUUUGACCUAGUUGUUGGAGCUGUAAAUUCAAGCCACUGAGCUAGCAGACCCAAGAGCUCAGUGUCUGGAGUCAGACCGGUGGGGCUGCCAGGUCAGCCCCUGCCCCUUGCACCUUGCCCUGAAUAGGCAGGGGACAUAUUUUCCUCAAUUAGUUUGUUCAGUUAAUUCAGCUCAGUCACUUGUGCUCUCCAGAUUAAGAAAUCAGCGGUUGAAUGUGUGUGUUAAGUACUCUGAGCCUGGAACACGCAAUCCAAAUUCUCUUCCUGCUCUAAAACUCCACUUGUAGCUAUAAAAGCGUUCUGUCUGUGCUCUAAUUCAUUAUGUAGUGAGCACGUUCUCCUUUUCUCACUCCCUGGGCAUUGGACAUCAGAAAUAUGUCAAUCCAAAAGACCUGAAACGUACUGAACAUCAGUGGACUUUCUUUCUCCCAUUGAAUCCCCAGGCAUACAGGGAACAAACAUUGCUGGUUCGUUAAUUUAAUUACAAUAACAUAAUGUGGGAUGUUUUACAGAAAACAAAGUCAUUAAAACCCUGAAAAAAAAAACCAACCUCUAGGUAUUGUGGCUGAAACAUUUGAAUGUAGACAUGUGCAUGAGUAUGUAUCUAGUGAGUGAUGCUGAGAUCUAAACUUGAUUUUAUGCUUCAAUGAAAAGUAAGAAGGGGGAACAUGCAUUUUCAAAAGUAAUUACACUACUACCUUGAUCUGCUCACAGGAGGCAUUAAGAGUGAGUGGAUUUUUGUGUCUAGGUCCAACGAAUCUGGUGGUCCUCUGGAGCGCAAACUAUUGUGGCCAAAAUGGUAAGUGAAUUAUUUUGUUUCUUAUAAAUGCGAAGGACUGAAGAGUAGCAAUAUUAACACUAAAUUGAGCAAUUAUCUGCAUUUUGUAUGAUUUGAAACAUUUGCACUGCUCAUUCUGAUUCCUUAGAAAUUUUUGGGAAUGCUCACAGUCUCAGAACACUUCGCAUUUUUGAAUGUUGAAACUUUCUACAGUGACCUGGUGAGCGUUGAAAGAGGUAUUCAAAAUCAUUCAGUGUUCAUCACUCCACCACAUUUCGUUGAUUUGUUUUUCUAAUACUCUAUUAAUAAUAUGUGAACAUAUAUUUUUAUUGAAUCCAUUUUCUUACUAAUAUAUUGCAUGAUUACAAGAAUGAAAUGUUAAGUUUUUAGUCUUUAUUUUCACUUAAGGACUUCUUGGAUUCAUUGCAUCGUGUUCUCUUGAGGUGUCCUCCAACUGGACGGAGAAGGUAGGACUUCAAGGGAAAUACUCAUUUUAAACCCACACUAUCUGCUUGCUGGGAACCUGUUAGUCAGACAGGCAAAGUACCCUUACCUGAGGUCAGUAUUUAGGUGGGAGGUUACCCAGGAACUUGAAAGUGCAACAGUUUGGAGGGUUUUGUACAGAAGUCUUGUCUUCCUUCUAUAUAAACGAUGUCUUCUUUGGCUAUGGAAAGAUCCCACCACUUAGGGCCUCACAACAUCAGUGAGACAUAAAGCUGGUAUGUUAAAUGUGUGUCAUCUUUUAAGACCUAAUGGUUUGUUUCCAAGGGGAGGAGUAGUCAGAUCAAAAUCCAAUUAAAAUUGAAUUCCUGCGCAGUUGUAGUGAGGUGAAUUCUUCGGAUUGCAGCCUCAUUUGCUAGAGAGCAGUGUUAUCAUUGAUUCGAUUCAGUUCAUAUUCUUGUGGAUUUUAAUGGUGAGCAAAUAUAUACUUGUUCUCUGUUGCAAUGUUACUUGUGAUGUUAUGCAUCUGCUCUAGGUGCUUUGAAUGGAAGCUUAACCAAGUUGUAGCCUAGGAAGAAAUUACCUGGAUGUAGCCAUUUAAAGCUACAGCUGAUGGUAACUUUGCCCUCGUGACAGCUGGUGUAAUUUGGAGCUGUCCUUAAACCAGCCUCAUCCAUGCAGAUGGUGUGGCACAGCACCCUGCUGCCUGGCUGAAGGAAGUUUUAAAUACUGUUUUGUGACAGAUCUGAAUCAGGGUACUGCAUAUUGGCAUAGUUAUUAGGACACUUACUGUAAA